Rattus norvegicus (Norway rat) is the source of this 436-nucleotide non-coding RNA. NCBI's taxonomy places the organism in Eukaryota, Metazoa, Chordata, Mammalia, Rodentia, Muridae. The record is from RefSeq and is a predicted model, not a curated record.
GGUACGGUUGACAACCACCAUCCAGGUCAAGUAACUGGCUACAUUUUGUGUGUAACUAUUCCUAGAGCCAAACAACCUCCAUCUUGGGAAAUUCAGCUCUUCCUGCUUGCAAAAGAAUUAUCCCAGCUAGGCUUUCUGACUGUUUACAUCACCUUAUGGAGGAGUGGACAAUGCUAGAAGACCCUCUCCUGAGAGACCAGGGGCUAUAAGCAUAUGAAUGACUUCAUGGGGAGCUGCAAGAUUCAUAUGACAUCCUUACCACCCAUUGCUGAAUCACCUUUUACAAUGUCACCCAAGCUCACACAAAGCUGGAAAUAUUUGGUAUUUCUACCAACUCAUGGAAAAAUCAUCAAAUGUAUUAGAUAUUUGAAAUGCCUUUGCAGUGGAGAUGAAAUGUCUUUCUAACCAAUAAAAGGGAGUCUUAUGUUUCCCAGGA